RNAcentral lists this unclassified non-coding RNA (309 nucleotides) under plant metagenome. RNAcentral's name for it is "partial contains 5.8S ribosomal RNA, internal transcribed spacer 2, and large subunit ribosomal RNA". The stretch from base 1 to 105 matches the Rfam family "5.8S ribosomal RNA", at positions 50 to 154 of the family's 154-position model. The record is from RNAcentral.
GAAAUGCGAUAAGUAGUGUGAAUUGCAGAAUUCAGUGAAUCAUCGAAUCUUUGAACGCACAUUGCGCCCCUUGGUAUUCCAUGGGGCAUGUCUGUUCGAGCGUCAUUUGUACCCUCAAGCUCUGCUUGGUGUUGGGUGUUUGUCCCGUCUCCGCGCGUGGACUCGCCCCAAAGUGAUUGGCAGCCGGCGUACUGGUCCCGGAGCGCAGCACAUGUCGCGCAAACGAGUGCCUUGGUACGGCGGCGUCCAUAAGCCCCUCUCUCACGCUCUUGACCUCGGAUCAGGUAGGGAUACCCGCUGAACUUAAGC